CCUACGGGAGGCAGCAGUGAGGAAUAUUGGUCAAUGGACGGAAGUCUGAACCAGCCAUGCCGCGUGCAGGAUGACGGCUCUAUGAGUUGUAAACUGCUUUUGUACGAGAAUAAGAGUUCUUACGUGUAGGGAUUUGAAUGUAGCGUACGAAUAAGGAUCGGCUAACUCCGUGCCAGCAGCCGCGGUAAUACGGAGGAUUCGAGCGUUAUCCGGAUUUAUUGGGGUUAAAGGGUGCGUAGGCGGGCGGAUAAGGUAGAGGUCAAAGGUCGGGGCUUAACCCCGUGCCUGCCUCUGAUACUGUUCGACUAGAGCGCGGAUGCAGCAGGCGGCAUGCGUUGUGUAGCGGU
This 347-nucleotide ribosomal RNA is filed under the name uncultured bacterium. RNAcentral describes it as "partial 16S ribosomal RNA". It matches the Rfam family "Bacterial small subunit ribosomal RNA", at positions 338 to 682 of the family's 1533-position model. The record is from RNAcentral.